Molecule: long non-coding RNA, 804 nt
Organism: Stegostoma tigrinum
Lineage: Eukaryota; Metazoa; Chordata; Chondrichthyes; Orectolobiformes; Stegostomatidae
Exons: 3
Source: RefSeq, a predicted model, not a curated record
CUCUUACAAACUGGCUUCAUUUCUCUCCCUUCGCCACAAGCGCAAUGGUGUACUGUGCUGAACUCCCCUCGUUUGUAACCUCAGGAGUCGUAGCUGUACCAGCAGGCAAUGAGUAUUAUCAUGUAAAUAGUGAAGAGAGUGGGUGAAAUUAGCUUUGCCAGCAAGCAGAAGGGGAAGGGGCUUCAGUUCAGUUCAACGCCGCUUUGUUUAUUCAAAUAGUUAUCAGUAAGGUAACAUUUAGUCCUCAACUGGCAGAAAUACAACUGAACACGCCUGAUCUGUUGGGUUGUAGUGCCGAAUACUGUGGCUUGUGGCAGGUGCUACAGGAGGAAAACAUCUCAGAACAGGGCAGAAAGAGACAAGGUGGAUGGUGUGCUGUCAGAAAUUUGGUUCUACACCCAUCGCAAGGAGAUGACAUUGAGUUUGAUACUCCCAGCUCAUCUGAAUGUGUGCAAGCCCUUGGACUAUCAUUAAAAGCUGUGCAAGUUACUGUGCUGGGACGCCAGGACUGAAGUCUAUCUCCCUUCGCUGAAGACUGAUGACAAACAUGACAAGCUUUCUGAAUUUGUGCCUGUGCUAAACAGCAAGACAAUAGAGAAGUGUUGUGAGCUUGAUAUCUCUGGCUGACGGGACAACAAGCAUACAAAGAAAUGCAAGGAAGGGUUACUGUGAGCAGCCAGGUUGGUUCAAGAGAUCUUCCACAAGCAAUGUUUUCUUUUUUCUGUCUGCAACUCACAUCUUGCUGACUGCUGCCAAUCAUUUUGACCAUGAGUGCCAAGGAUACGAUCGACAUAUGAAGGAAAA